AAAACUAGCCAGUCCUUUGGGUAUGAAACCCAUUUGGGCGAGAGUAGUACUAGGAUGGGUGACCUCCUGGGAAGUCCUCAUGAAAUGGUUUCA
Molecule: non-coding RNA, 93 nt
Organism: Triticum aestivum (bread wheat)
Lineage: Eukaryota; Viridiplantae; Streptophyta; Magnoliopsida; Poales; Poaceae
Source: Rfam